RNAcentral lists this ribosomal RNA (276 nucleotides) under Tetracapsuloides bryosalmonae. RNAcentral describes it as "partial small subunit ribosomal RNA". It matches the Rfam family "Eukaryotic small subunit ribosomal RNA", at positions 72 to 348 of the family's 1831-position model. Lineage: Eukaryota; Metazoa; Cnidaria; Myxozoa; Malacovalvulida; Saccosporidae. The record is from RNAcentral.
UUCGGUAGAGUGAAACUGCGGAUAGCUCAUUAAAUCGCCUCUAUUUUGUUUGAUAGUCCUCCACUGGAUAUCCGUGGAAAAUCUAGAGCCAAUACUUGCACUGAUAUCUAACAAGCUAAUGCUUCUUGUUAGAUGCAUUUAUUGGAUAUCCGAUCGCUCACAUUGCGAGCGUUAGGUGAUUCUAAAUGACUUUGCUGAUCGUAUGGCCUUGUGCCGACGACAGAUCAAACAAGAUCGCGCCCUAUCAAUUUGUUGUUAGGAUAUUUUCCUAACAAG